Molecule: long non-coding RNA, 2802 nt
Organism: Quercus lobata
Lineage: Eukaryota; Viridiplantae; Streptophyta; Magnoliopsida; Fagales; Fagaceae
Exons: 3
Source: RefSeq, a predicted model, not a curated record
GCCCAGCGUUGAUUUCCUCUGCCUUUUGCUCUCUCCCAAUCACUCGCAUUCAUCUCUUCAAAUUGUUUUCUUCUUCACUAAUUUAUGUAUGUUCCUUUUUUCUUCAGUUCUAUACAUAUUGUGCUUCAAAUUUUAUCUCUAUAUUUCCUAUGGCUUCCAUGAGAACUCAAAGGAGGGUCUACGUCAUCACCAUCACCUUCUUCUUUUUCUUCAGUUCAAUUUCUGUUGCAAUCAGUGCUUAUACUAUUACAUGUAGUGUGUGACCCCUGCCCUUUUAUAUAUAUUUUUAGAUGAUGAUGCCAAUGUUCUUUUCAUACCUUGAUUGACUGUAAAAUAGGGAGGAGGAUUUUCAUAGGAUGAAUUUCAAUUGAGGCUACUGAUAUUGAAUGUGCACAAGCAUUUCUGUCAAUCUAAUUGUGUUUUUUCUAUUUCUUUUUUUUUUUUUGGAUAAAAAUCCUGAUAUGUUGUAAUGAAUUUAUAUAUUAUGAUGAUUUGGAAAUGUAUUCGUGUGAUAUAUCCUUCUUUCAUAAUGAGAAUAUAGUCAGGAUCUUUUCUUUUCCUUUCCUUUUUUGACAGUUUCUAGUCAAUAUUAGAUAUGAUAUAUAUGGUUUCAAUUAUUAGGUUUUAAUAGGAUGAAGUAAAGUUAAAUUGAGCCUACAAGCUAUACUUUUAGUUGCCUUUCUCACAUUUAUCUCAUGUAGUGUAUUUGAGUUAAUCUACAUGAGAGCAUGAGUUGUGAAUUUUGGCAAAGUUUUAAAAGCUAUUACUUUUAUUUUUUCUCAAUCACACUAUGAUCAAAUAAGCAUUAACUCAGUCUUUAUUCUAGAAUAUGUACUUAUAAUUAAAAAGUCUACAAAUACUUUUGAAAGCUUCAAACAAUUUCACCCUUGAUGUAAUCUUCUUCCUGGGACUUGCCUACUUGAUAGUUAAGGGCCUUACGGCCUAACCAUUAUAUUGUUAAUAUCUUUCUUCAAAAUAAACCAGCAUAUCAAGCUAAUGUAGAAGUUGUGAUUUUUCCUUUAUAUCACCGGAGGAAUCGGCUAGCAACAUAGAGGAGCCUAUGUCUAUCUUGGAGCAUAUUAUCUGGUUGAGACACUAGUAUGUGCUGUUGUGGCCUUUGUUAAAUCCUUAAAAGUCCUUCAGAUUGGAUUUAAAGACAGGGUGUAUUAUACAAGCUUAUUUAUUUAUAUUGCUAAAAUGUACAAGCAUUUUUGUUUGCUCAUGGAACAAGUUUCACAAAUUGGCAAAAGUAGGUUACUAGUACAAAAAUUCUUCCUUUCUACAAAAUUGUCCCCCCACCCUCCCUCCCUUCUUCUAAUUCAUCUUCUUCUUUAUACUGUAAUUUAUGUCAACUUUAUCAUAUAGCAUGAAUUUUCGAAGCCUUCUAACUAUUUCAGACUAGAGUAAUUGGUGUCAAAUCUAUAUUUUAUUAAAAUUGGUGGUAAUUGAAAUGCGCUAGGCCUUUAGACUAAAAUAGUUUUGAAUGCUUAGUUGGAUUUUUAUUGAUGUUUCUGGUUUUCAAAGCUAGAGUGGGGACAUAUCAGUGAGACUAUUUUAGUAGAUGAGAUAAUAAUAGAGAGCAAUUUAUGUUUCUACUUUCUUAAGUUUAUUGUUAAUGAAAUUUCUCUUUCUUAAAAGAAGAAAAUUAAAAAUAUAAAUAGAAAAACUGCAAAACAAGAGACUCGAAGGGACUCUCACCAAAGUUACUCCACCUUUAGGUUCUUUACAAUUAGACCAACCACUUCUUUAUUGUGGCUUGCAACUUAUUUUACUUGAUUGUUCUAACCAACCAUACAUGCUGUCAUAUUGGUGGCUUCAGCUUUCUUUACAUUCCAAUCACUUCUGCAUUUGUGCUAAUGCCCUACUUUUAUCAGUGUAGAUUAGAAGGCACACCUUUAGAUUUACCAAUUGCUAAUGAAAUACAUGUAUCCAUAGUAAAGAUGCAAAAUUGCUUAGGUAAGGUAGGUGGCUCAAUCUUAUUAUGGCAUCCCAUUUGCAAGUGUCCAAGUAUUAUGCUAAUUUUCAUAUUCACCUUGUGUAGUGCUGGCAGAAGCAAGAGAAAUUAUCCUCAUAAAUUUUUUAAAUGUGAAAACUAGAGACUGUGUAGUCUCUACCAUGUCUAUACUUCAUAAUCAUUGGUGACAUGCCUUCUAGAAAACGCAAGGAGGAACUCCACUUAUACUGAUUAUUAAUGAGUAAAUUGCUAUUAUUUUUUGUUUUGAUUAUAGUACCAUACUAACUCAAGUUUUCACAUAUAUGCAGAUGAUAACAAUUAACAAGUCAGCAGAAGAUGACACUCGUGUUUUGUUUAUACUUUGUCUAGCUGCUAAAUGGGAAGGAUUUUCAUAGGAGGAUUUCAGUUGAGGCUAUGGCUACUGGAUGUGCAUAAGCAUUUCUGUCAGUCUGAUUGGUAUGUUGUAUUGAAUUUAUAUAUGGUUUUGGUUAUAAUGAUUUGGAAAUGUAUUCAAGUGACGUAUCCUUGUAUCUUGUUUCAUAAAGACAGUAGAGCCAGGAUCUUUUCUUUCAUCUUCUUCUUUUUAUUUUUUAUUUUUAUAUGGUUUCAGUUAUGACAAUUUUCAUAGGAUGAACCGAUGAUGUUCAUAAUUGUUAUUGGAUAGCCUACAAGGCACAAGCUAUACUUUCAGAGGAAUCAGCUGGAAACAUACAGGGAGAAUAUGUCAAUCUUGGAGCAUAUUAUCUGGUUGAGAGUCCAGUAGGUGCCGCUUUGGUCUUUCUUGUAUGCCCAACGUCCUUUGGAUUGGAUUUAGAGAGAGGGCCUAUUGUAAAAGCAUUUCUAGUUGC